RNAcentral lists this transfer RNA (57 nucleotides) under Planorbella pilsbryi. RNAcentral's name for it is "tRNA-Ser". The record is from RNAcentral. Lineage: Eukaryota; Metazoa; Mollusca; Gastropoda; Planorbidae.
AAAAAGAAGGAGAAUGUACCCCAAAUCAAAGUUAGCAGCUUCAAUUUAAAUUCUUUU